Molecule: ribosomal RNA, 429 nt
Filed under: Bacillota bacterium
Lineage: Bacteria; Bacillati; Bacillota
Description: Firmicutes bacterium partial 16S ribosomal RNA
Rfam family: Bacterial small subunit ribosomal RNA
Source: RNAcentral
UAGGGAAUCUUCGGCAAUGGACGGAAGUCUGACCGAGCAACGCCGCGUGAGUGAAGAAGGUUUUCGGAUCGUAAAGCUCUGUUGUUAGAGAAGAACGUUGGUAGGAGUGGAAAAUCUACCAAGUGACGGUAACUAACCAGAAAGGGACGGCUAACUACGUGCCAGCAGCCGCGGUAAUACGUAGGUCCCGAGCGUUGUCCGGAUUUAUUGGGCGUAAAGCGAGCGCAGGCGGUUCUUUAAGUCUGAAGUUAAAGGCAGUGGCUUAACCAUUGUACGCUUUGGAAACUGUAGGACUUGAGUGCAGAAGGGGAGAGGGGAAUUCCAUGUGUAGCGCUGAAAUGCGUAGAUAUAUGGAGGAACACCGGUGGCUAACUCGGCUCUCUGGUCUGUAACUGACGCUGAGGCUCGAAAGCGUGGGGAGCAAACAGG